UACAGAGGUCCCGAGCGUUGUUCGGAUUCACUGGGCGUAAAGGGUGCGUAGGUGGCUGGGAAAGUUUGAUGUGAAAUCUCCGGGCUUAACCCGGAAAUGGCAUUGAAUACUCUCCAGCUGGAGGUUUGGAGGGGGGACUGGAAUUCUCGGUGUAGCAGUGAAAUGCGUAGAUAUCGAGAGGAACACCAGUGGCGAAGGCGAGUCCCUGGACAACACCUGACACUGAGGCACGAAAGCCGGGGGAGCAAACAGG
Molecule: ribosomal RNA, 253 nt
Filed under: uncultured bacterium
Lineage: Bacteria
Description: partial 16S ribosomal RNA
Rfam family: Bacterial small subunit ribosomal RNA
Source: RNAcentral